RNAcentral lists this microRNA (24 nucleotides) under Caenorhabditis brenneri. Its description in RNAcentral is "cbn-miR-57". Its record names the gene cbn-miR-57. The record is from miRBase by way of RNAcentral. Lineage: Eukaryota; Metazoa; Nematoda; Chromadorea; Rhabditida; Rhabditidae.
UACCCUGUAGAUAGAGCUGUGUGU